Molecule: long non-coding RNA, 2087 nt
Organism: Naja naja (Indian cobra)
Lineage: Eukaryota; Metazoa; Chordata; Lepidosauria; Squamata; Elapidae
Source: Ensembl
ACACACAGCCUCGUGGUAGCAGCUUUACCCCCUGCCUCUAUGACUAUGGGAUGAAAUAUGGGAUAAAAAGAUUACUAUCAUUUACACUACGAUUUCAACUGUGCAAAAAAUUGGACAUUAGAUGCAUCUUGACAUAACUGGAGCCUCCGAAGAUAUCCUCGAUGAAGAUCUUCCCCCAAGUCCUGAGGAUAUGCCACAGCAAAGUGAAAAGGAGCUGAAACAAAUUCAGAAGGAGGCUAAGAAACAGGAGGAUGUUUCUGGUAGUUCGCUGUGGCACAUGGGAGAGCGGACCAGUCCCUGGCAAAUGGGCCACUCACGAGAGUUUUCGGAAUCCCUUUUUAAGGAUAAAAAUUACAAGCAGAAAUUUGGGAAGCACGAACGGGACUCUAAAGUGGCUGUGCCUUUACCUCUGCAAGAAUUGAUGGAGGAAGAAGUCUUGACAAUCUUAAAGGCAACCCUGCUCUCUUAUCAGAGGAAACUUGGGGUGAAUCACCCUCUCACGGAACAGAUGGAGCAACAGGUGGACAAACUUCACCUGCAGCUACAAGGAAGAGGAAUAAUCUGAGCCCCAAAUCCAGACUCGGAAGGAUCACCCCCCCCACACACACACUUCUCCGUCUCUCUCGGGGAGCCCCCUCCCCGCCCGGUCUCAAUGCUGCAACCUCCCCCCAAACUGAGAAGUUAAAAAAAAGUAAAUUUAGCUUUUUUUAAAAAAUAAAAAUAAAAAUCAGCCUGUUCUCUCUUUUGUCAAUGAAAGUCUCGCCGUUUUAUCCAAGUAUUUUUUUAAGCUUGGCCACUCAGAGUUGGGUGGACUUCAACUCCCAGGAUUCCCCAGUCAGCAGGCUUUAAGAUGGGUGGACUCUCCUCCUCCUCCUCCAACUCCCUUCUAGCACUGAUGAUGUUACCUAGCUGGGUCUUGAAAUGUCUGCAAGAAAAGAACCCAGCUCAGAGAGCACCAGGGAGCCCACAAUCCUUUUUCUCUUUCUCUCUUUCCUUCUUCUUCCACCUCCUUCUCCCUCCUCCUCCUCCUCUUCUUCUCCUUCCUCCUCUUCUUCCAUCUAGUCUAAUGAAGGACCAGGGGAGACAGGAUAGCAGUCUUCCAGUAUUUUGAGGGGCUGCCCCAGAGAGGAGGAAGGGUUCAAGUUGUUUUCUAAAGCACCUGAAGGCCAGACAAGGAAGAAUGGAUGGAAACUGAACACGGAGAGAUUCAACCUGGAAAUAAGGAGGAAUUUUCUGACAGGGAGGACAAUCAACUGAUGGAACAGAAGUUGCCUUCAGAAGUUGUGGGAGCUUCGUCCCUGGAAGCUUUCAAGAAGAGACUGGACUGCCCUCUGUCAAAAAUGGUGUAGGGUCUCCUGCUUGGGCAGGGGGUUGGACUAGAUGACCUACAAGGUCCCUUCCAACUCUGUUAUUUUGUCGUCUUCUUCUUCUUCUUCUUCUUCUUCUUCUUCUUCUUCUUCUUCUUCUUCUUCUUCUUCUUCUUCUUCUUCUCCUCCUCCUCCUCCUCCUCCUCCUCCUCCUCCUCCUCCUCCCAAAACAAACUCCCUUCUAGCACUGAUGAUGUUACCUAGUUGGGUCAAGAAACGUCUGCAAGAAAACCACCGAGCUCAGAGACACCGCUUGUUUCAACCCUGAGCUACAAAUAUUCCCCUUUGCCUUUCCUUCUGUCCCCCUGCUGCCCCACAACACCCCUCUGAAACACACAACCACUUUUCCCUUCCUACAUUCACGUUGCCAAUCAAACCACGUGGGCAUUGCCUGGCCAGGGGCUGUUUCUGGCAAAGCACCGUAGCUUCUUUGCACUUUAUUCAUCCUUCAGCUGGCUCCGUUUCAGCACGGCCGAGCCUCCAAAAUGGCCUGAGAUUUUCCUUCCUCGAAGAAUCUACCACUGGCAGCACCCCACAAUUCAGACCUAGAUCACUUCUAAAGAAAGUCUCGGGGGGGCAAACUGGCCCAGAAUCCACGUGCCAGGAUUGCUGAUCCCAUCCCACAAAGGGAAAAAUGCCUCUGAUCAUGGGCAGGCUGCCAAUCUCAUGCCCCAAAUCUCUCGAAGAUGAAUUUUCUCGACAGUGAGGACUAGACUCCUG